Molecule: ribosomal RNA, 497 nt
Filed under: uncultured bacterium
Lineage: Bacteria
Description: partial 16S ribosomal RNA
Rfam family: Bacterial small subunit ribosomal RNA
Source: RNAcentral
GACGAACGCUGGCGGCGUGCCUAAUACAUGCAAGUUGAGCGCUGAAGGUUGGUACUUGUACCAACUGGAUGAGCAGCGAACGGGUGAGUAACGCGUGGGGAAUCUGCCUUUGAGCGGGGGACAACAUUUGGAAACGAAUGCUAAUACCGCAUAAAAACUUUAAACACAAGUUUUAAGUUUGAAAGAUGCAAUUGCAUCACUCAAAGAUGAUCCCGCGUUGUAUUAGCUAGUUGGUGAGGUAAAGGCUCACCAAGGCGAUGAUACAUAGCCGACCUGAGAGGGUGAUCGGCCAAAAUGGGACUGAGACACGGCCCAAACUCCUACGGGAGGCAGCAGUAGGGAAUCUUCGGCAAUGGACGAAAGUCUGACCGAGCAACGCCGCGUGAGUGAAGAAGGUUUUCGGAUCGUAAAACUCUGUUGGUAGAGAAGAACGUUGGUGAGAGUGGAAAGCUCAUCAAGUGACGGUAACUACCCAGAAAGGGACGGCUAACUACGUG